RNAcentral lists this transfer RNA (73 nucleotides) under Stegodyphus mimosarum. It matches the Rfam family "tRNA". Rfam says of the family: Transfer RNA (tRNA) molecules are approximately 80 nucleotides in length. Their secondary structure includes four short double-helical elements and three loops (D, anti-codon, and T loops). Further hydrogen bonds mediate the characteristic L-shaped molecular structure. tRNAs have two regions of fundamental functional importance: the anti-codon, which is responsible for specific mRNA codon recognition, and the 3' end, to which the tRNAs corresponding amino acid is attached (by aminoacyl-tRNA synthetases). tRNAs cope with the degeneracy of the genetic code in two manners: having more than one tRNA (with a specific anti-codon) for a particular amino acid; and 'wobble' base-pairing, i.e. permitting non-standard base-pairing at the 3rd anti-codon position. Lineage: Eukaryota; Metazoa; Arthropoda; Arachnida; Araneae; Eresidae. The record is from Rfam by way of RNAcentral.
GCCUUCGUGGUGUAGUGGUCAGCACGCUCAGAGCGUAUUCGAGAGAUCCAGGGUUCGAAUCCCGGCGGGGGUA